AUCGUAGAAGGGUCAGGCUUGGUAGAACCUACCGGUCUGCAAUAAAGAUAAUUGGAAUAUGAUCCAAAGUUUCAACGAAUAAUAGCAAAGGGAGCAAAGUGCUGAGAUAGUAUGGUAUCUCUUCAAAAUACGUACAACCAUGGCAUUUUGAUCAAAACUGCAAACAGCGUUACACAGCUUCAACCAUCCAGGCAUCCCAACGCAAUCCCGCCGGAUGACAAGGAGCGGGGUUAGAGGACAGGUGCUACUGACGCCUUUGAUCUCGCCCGAGUUACACGCUUUGGAGCAUCGCGCACGAAAAAGGGAAUUAUCGAAAUUCUCCGACUGCUCCCUCGCUCUCCAACCUCCUAACGGGAGGUUCCCUAUCCCUCCGGUUUCCAACCUCUAUUCCUCCCUCCUCAACACCGCGCAAUCAUCAUCCUCUCCAUUCCCUUCAUUCCUUCUUUCUCUCUUACCUCCCUGCAUAUUCUUCAUCCAAUGCAACAACCAGACACCUGAGGCAUUGCUUUCUUUUUUCAAAUGAGUAUUUUUUUUUUCUUUUUUUUUCAGGAAAAAUUCACUCAGAUUGUGGCUAUCUCAUCCCAUAUGCUGCCCAAGAUAUACAUUUAUACUUCAGGCAAUACACAUCCCUUAACCAAAUAUCAGUGAAUUGGCAAGGAUAUUUAAAUAGAGUAACUAAAAGAGCAUUGCCAAAGCGUAUGGACUAUUCAGGCUGAUUACUCUCUGGUUCCAGUAUGGCUAAUAGACACAGAUAGUCUCUAAGACUAUAUCAAGGGAAAUACUAAACGCAGACUCCCAAUGGACCUGAAAGCUGUUGACGACAAAUCGAGGGUUAAAAUACUAUCGGUAAAUAGUCGAGUAAAGUGUAGGGUGAUGUCUAUCAUAGGAUAGGGACUCACCCAGGGAUUAUAACCCUAAUUUCAACCGUGUCCACAUACCAUAGAGACAACCUCGGGGUAACUCCAGUUCAAUCUUUCAAAUCUGCCUACUAAAGACGGAACAGGAAGUGAGAAUAACGUAUAUACGAUUAGAAAUUUCACAGGAACGAAGAUUCCCGAUGAUUCAUGAACUCAAAAAAUACCUCGUUGUAAACUUAAUAGGCACUCUCCUCGGUUAUUAACGAAAAAAGACUACGGACAAGGAAUCCCUCUUCUUUUCAAACGUUCAUAAAUCAUACUUCGCAGCCAGAUAAAUGCCUCUUAAUUUCGUCAGUGCUUUGGAGAACGAUCAUGGAACGGAGGCCUUUACGAAGACUACACAGUGUCGAUUAUGCCGAUUCUCUCGUCCAAUCCUAAAUCAUAGUAGAGGCAAUCCGCCAAUAGAUGGAUUGACUUUGAGACGUGAACAUCCUGAGACCUCGAGAUGCCGGGAUGCUGAGACGUCUCUGAAAUUCCCGGACACGCUCCUUUCCCGAUACCAAACUCUCAGCCAAAGGUGAGCCACGCCAAAGUGAAGGGUUCAACUCACAGGGAGAAAGAGAAAGAGAAAGAGAGAGGUUAGCAGUUAGCAGGACUAGACUUUCGUGCUUCUCGGCUCCUAAAACUGUAGGGCACGAUAAUUGUGAGAACAAUGCUUCUUCAGACAAUUUCGGGCUAAACUAUUUCUCGGUUCGCCGUACCUCCGAAUUCCUUCAUCACAUGUCGCGUGCAUCAAUGCGUGAGAAUAGCGUGUCCCACUCGACACGAACCUGAUAUCUAUAGGUACCAAAGUGCAUAGUUGGAUGCACUACCGUUACAUCAUUAAGCCAAUGGAGUGUAUGUACCAUGGGACUUUGCAGAAUCUUUCUUCAGAGAAUUUGACAAUUCUCAGCUUGACCUCAGCGAAUAUCGGUAACGAAAGGAGAGCGAUCGACGUCCGUGAGAGAAAUUCGCACAAAAGUCAAAGGAAAAAUUCGACCGGCUCUAAAUGCAACCCUAAAAUUUUGAACUGACGGCCAAAAGAAUGUAUAAUUAGGAGGCAUAAAAGUAACCAUCGCCCACUCAAAGCACUUGCUGUGUUAUACCGUUGUGGGUCGUCGCACCCACAACUGCAGGUUCCCGUCGAUCUCUGAAAGUUCGAGAUGUUCGGCAAUUUUUCUUUAUUCUUUUUUCUUUUACUUUCGUUUCUUUUCUUCCCUUCUGAGACAAUUACGAUGAGUGCCAGGUUCCCUGCCAUUAAAGUAUCGCUAAUCGUUCCGGGUUAUACUCCAUCGACAUUUGCAAAAAUCAUUGUAAAAAAAGUCAGAUGAAAUCAUUACAGUAGACCCAUAUGUAUUGUCGUUGAUUAAACUUGAAAUAUUCUUUUGAAUCUUAUCAUUCGUGUAUCGGUAAUCGUUAAUGUAUUCUGGGUUCAAUCCAAUUUUCACUUUUUCCCUAAAUUUCUCAUUGCCAAUCAAAAUAUCAUUGGUAUCAAGAUCCAAAUGAACAUUCAUACGCAAUUGCAUAGCUAACGAUAGCAAAACUGAUCCUCCUACCCACCAUCUGUCAUUUCUGAUCGUUAACUUGGUUAGCACACGCAUAUCAAAUCGAGCAGGGCGAAGCUUAGCGCGGAACAGCCAGUCGGCUAAUGCGAUUUGGAUAUAUGGAGAGUCCUGUGGGAUAUUUCGGGUGUACGAUGCCCCCAUUGCGUCCUGAGACGCGAUAAAUACUAUGCAUAUGUAAAUAUUACAACGAGCAUAUCAAAUUGGUUACAAAAACGUUCUACUGUAUCAAGCGGAGAAUCUAAGAUAUUCAAACAAAAGUUUGGAUCGCGAGGGAAGUCUGUACAAGAGUUGGAAAGAAUGCUGCUUUGUAAUUAUUUGAGAAAAUUCAGUAUACAAGACGAAUCACUUAGACGAACACAAACGCGUGAAACCUUUUCUCACGCUCAGGAUUCUACGCAUUAGUGGUGGCAAUCUAGUCCCGUUAACAGGAUCAGGACUUGCGAGAAACGAAGGGUUCUCUACUCGUUAUAUUGGCAAACCGUCUAUUCAGGGUCGAUCCUCGGGGACGGGAUUUCAGUUACUUAGGAAGAAUUGCCACAAAGAGACGAACCUAUUGUGAACAUUGUUGUUGCGACGAAUUCUACUAUGAUCCAGUAAGGUUGUUUAUCUUUACAGACCCAAUAAGCCACAGGCGUAUAACUGUGUACCAAUCGUAUAUGUACUCUUGAAAUUCUAUAAAUGUGCAAUAAUAAUUUUGUACUAUCGUAAUUCAUAAAUUGUACUUUUUAC
Molecule: long non-coding RNA, 3190 nt
Organism: Cephus cinctus (wheat stem sawfly)
Lineage: Eukaryota; Metazoa; Arthropoda; Insecta; Hymenoptera; Cephidae
Exons: 5
Source: RefSeq, a predicted model, not a curated record